RNAcentral lists this ribosomal RNA (490 nucleotides) under uncultured bacterium. RNAcentral's name for it is "partial 16S ribosomal RNA". It matches the Rfam family "Bacterial small subunit ribosomal RNA", at positions 30 to 507 of the family's 1533-position model. The record is from RNAcentral.
AUUGAACGCUGGCGGCAGGCCUAACACAUGCAAGUCGAACGGUAACAGGCAGAAGCUUGCUUCUUUGCUGACGAGUGGCGGACGGGUGAGUAAUGUCUGGGAAACUGCCUGAUGGAGGGGGAUAACUACUGGAAACGGUAGCUAAUACCGCAUAACGUCGCAAGACCAAAGAGGGGGACCUUCGGGCCUCUUGCCAUCGGAUGUGCCCAGAUGGGAUUAGCUAGUAGGUGGGGUAACGGCUCACCUAGGCGACGAUCCCUAGCUGGUCUGAGAGGAUGACCAGCCACACUGGAACUGAGACACGGUCCAGACUCCUACGGGAGGCAGCAGUGGGGAAUAUUGCACAAUGGGCGCAAGCCUGAUGCAGCCAUGCCGCGUGUAUGAAGAAGGCCUUCGGGUUGUAAAGUACUUUCAGCGGGGAGGAAGGGAGUAAAGUUAAUACCUUUGCUCAUUGACGUUACCCGCAGAAGAAGCACCGGCUAACUCCGUG